UUUACGACUCUCGAUAAUGUAUAUCUUAGAUCUCGCAUCGAUGAAGAACGCAGCGAAAUGCGAUACUUGGUGUGAAUUGCAGAAUCCCGUGAACCAUCGAGUCUUUGAACGCAAGUUGCGCCCGAGGCUAUCCGGCCGAGGGCACGCCUGCCUG
RNAcentral lists this ribosomal RNA (154 nucleotides) under Maianthemum gigas. RNAcentral describes it as "5.8S ribosomal RNA". It matches the Rfam family "5.8S ribosomal RNA". Rfam says of the family: 5.8S ribosomal RNA (5.8S rRNA) is a component of the large subunit of the eukaryotic ribosome. The record is from RNAcentral. Lineage: Eukaryota; Viridiplantae; Streptophyta; Magnoliopsida; Asparagales; Asparagaceae.